GCGUACGAGCUAUAGCCGUUGGGGUCUUUGAGACUUUAGUGGCGCAGCUAACGCGAUAAGCCGACCGCCUGGGGAGUACGGUCGCAAGACUAAAACUCAAAUGAAUUGACGGGGGCCCGCACAAGCGGUGGAGCAUGUGGUUUAAUUCGAUGCAACGCGAAGAACCUUACCUGGUCUUGACAUAGUAAGAACUUUCCAGAGAUGGAUUGGUGCCUUCGGGAACUUACAUACAGGUGCUGCAUGGCUGUCGUCAGCUCGUGUCGUGAGAUGUUGGGUUAAGUCCCGCAACGAGCGCAACCCUUUUCCUUAUUUGCCAGCGGGUUAAGCCGGGAACUUUAAGGAUACUGCCCGUGACAAACUGGAGGAAGGCGGGGACGACGUCAAGUCAUCAUGGCCCUUACGACCAGGGCUACACACGUGCUACAAUGGUCGGUACAAAGGGUUGCUACCUAGCGAUAGGAUGCUAAUCUCAAAAAGCCGAUCGUAGUCCGGAUUGGAGUCUGCAACUCGACCCCAUGAAGUCGGAGUCGCUAGUAAUCGCAGAUCAGCAACCCUGCGGUGAAUACCUUCCCGGGCCUUGUACCCACCCCCCGUCACGUCACGAAAGUUGGCACCCCCCGAAGCCCGUGGCCCACCCCUUGUGGGGGGACCGCCCCAACGUGGGGUUGGCCAUUGGGACAAACUCAU
Molecule: ribosomal RNA, 687 nt
Filed under: uncultured Acinetobacter sp.
Lineage: Bacteria; Pseudomonadati; Pseudomonadota; Gammaproteobacteria; Moraxellales; Moraxellaceae
Description: bacterial SSU rRNA
Rfam family: Bacterial small subunit ribosomal RNA
Source: RNAcentral